GACGAACGCUGGCGGCGUGCUUAACACAUGCAAGUCGAACGGAAAGGCCCUGCUUUUGUGGGGUGCUCGAGUGGCGAACGGGUGAGUAACACGUGAGUAACCUGCCCUUGACUUUGGGAUAACUUCAGGAAACUGGGGCUAAUACCGGAUAGGAGCUCCUGCUGCAUGGUGGGGGUUGGAAAGUUUCGGCGGUUGGGGUUGGACUCGCGGCUUAUCAGCUUGUUGGUGGGGUAGUGGCUUACCAAGGCUUUGACGGGUAGCCGGCCUGAGAGGGUGACCGGCCACAUUGGGACUGAGGUACGGGCCAGACGCCUACGGGAGGCAGCAGUGGGGAAUAUUGCACAAUGGGCGGAAGCCGUGUGCAGCAUCGCCGCGUGCGGGAUGACGGCCUUCGGGUUGUAAACCGCUUUCGCCUGUGACGAUGCGUGAGUGACGGUAAUGGGUAAAGAAGCACCGGCUAACUACGUG
RNAcentral lists this ribosomal RNA (468 nucleotides) under uncultured bacterium. Its description in RNAcentral is "partial 16S ribosomal RNA". It matches the Rfam family "Bacterial small subunit ribosomal RNA", at positions 28 to 507 of the family's 1533-position model. The record is from RNAcentral.